This 1346-nucleotide ribosomal RNA is filed under the name uncultured bacterium. RNAcentral's name for it is "bacterial SSU rRNA". It matches the Rfam family "Bacterial small subunit ribosomal RNA", at positions 28 to 1381 of the family's 1533-position model. The record is from RNAcentral.
GACGAACGCUGGCGGCGUGCUUAACACAUGCAAGUCGAACGGAAAGGCCCUGCUUUUGUGGGGUGCUCGAGUGGCGAACGGGUGAGUAACACAUGAGUAACCUGCCCUUGACUUUGGGAUAACUUCAGGAAACUGGGGCUAAUACCGGAUAGGAGCUCCUGCUGCAUGGUGGGGGUUGGAAAGUUUCGGCGGUUGGGGAUGGACUCGCGGCUUAUCAGCUUGUUGGUGGGGUAGUGGCUUACCAAGGCUUUGACGGGUAGCCGGCCUGAGAGGGUGACCGGCCACAUUGGGACUGAGAUACGGCCCAGACUCCUACGGGAGGCAGCAGUGGGGAAUAUUGCACAAUGGGCGGAAGCCUGAUGCAGCAACGCCGCGUGCGGGAUGACGGCCUUCGGGUUGUAAACCGCUUUCGCCUGUGACGAAGCGUGAGUGACGGUAAUGGGUAAAGAAGCACCGGCUAACUACGUGCCAGCAGCCGCGGUGAUACGUAGGGUGCGAGCGUUGUCCGGAUUUAUUGGGCGUAAAGGGCUCGUAGGUGGUUGAUCGCGUCGGAAGUGUAAUCUUGGGGCUUAACCCUGAGCGUGCUUUCGAUACGGGUUGACUUGAGGAAGGUAGGGGAGAAUGGAAUUCCUGGUGGAGCGGUGGAAUGCGCAGAUAUCAGGAGGAACACCAGUGGCGAAGGCGGUUCUCUGGGCCUUUCCUGACGCUGAGGAGCGAAAGCGUGGGGAGCGAACAGGCUUAGAUACCCUGGUAGUCCACGCUGUAAACGGUGGGUACUAGGUGUGGGGUCCAUUCCACGGGUUCCGUGCCGUAGCUAACGCUUUAAGUACCCCGCCUGGGGAGUACGGCCGCAAGGCUAAAACUCAAAGGAAUUGACGGGGCCCCGCACAAGCGGCGGAGCAUGCGGAUUAAUUCGAUGCAACGCGUAGAACCUUACCUGGGUUUGACAUGGAUCGGGAGCGCUCAGAGAUGGGUGUGCCUCUUUUGGGGUCGGUUCACAGGUGGUGCAUGGCUGUCGUCAGCUCGUGUCGUGAGAUGUUGGGUUAAGUCCCGCAACGAGCGCAACCCUUGUUCACUGUUGCCAGCACGUUAUGGUGGGGACUCAGUGGAGACCGCCGGGGUCAACUCGGAGGAAGGUGGGGAUGACGUCAAGUCAUCAUGCCCCUUAUGUCCAGGGCUUCACGCAUGCUACAAUGGCUGGUACAGAGAGUGGCGAGCCUGUGAGGGUGAGCGAAUCUCGGAAAGCCGGUCUCAGUUCGGAUUGGGGUCUGCAACUCGACCUCAUGAAGUCGGAGUCGCUAGUAAUCGCAGAUCAGCAACGCUGCGGUGAAUACGUUCCCGGGGCU